GUAUAGCUCAGGGGCACAGCACCUGCCUGGCAUGCAUGAGGCCCUGAGUUUGAUUCCCAGUAC
This 63-nucleotide transfer RNA is filed under the name Heterocephalus glaber (naked mole-rat). It matches the Rfam family "tRNA", at positions 5 to 66 of the family's 71-position model. Rfam says of the family: Transfer RNA (tRNA) molecules are approximately 80 nucleotides in length. Their secondary structure includes four short double-helical elements and three loops (D, anti-codon, and T loops). Lineage: Eukaryota; Metazoa; Chordata; Mammalia; Rodentia; Bathyergidae. The record is from Rfam by way of RNAcentral.